UGUGUGACAGAGUAAGCUAAUAUGUUUGAAMAUCUAAUUAAUUAUGUUUCCUCAAACCAAUUCCCUGCCAUUUUACUCGUAUGUUUGUUUCCUCCCAUUUAAAUCUUCCUUCCUGCUUUGACAAACAAGGCCUGUUUUUUUAAUCCUCGUUGUCAUGCCAUGUUGAAACAUCAGGGUCACCUGCCUCUGCCUCAGUUCAGUGUUGACUUUGACAGAUUUCACCUUCCAGUAUUCACUGAGGUCAUUUCCAGCAAAACCCAAAUCAAACAUCCCUGAACUGCCAUAGCACGGGUGGGUCAAAGAACAUGUACUGUACUUAACAAGUGAUAGAUGGGUCACUUGACUCCUGUGCUUGAUGUGGGAGGAGGAGAAAAACACUAGAAUUUCUGCUCUGCUCUAGAUCAGAAUCAAUAACGUUCUUGUGAUGCUAAGUGGUGGGCUUCAAUGUAAAUUGUAAAUAACAUAAUGUAAAUCGUAUUGAUUUGUCCCCCCCCCCCCAAAGGGUUUGUUUGACCGAUGUUGGACUUCACGAAAGUGAUGUUCUGUAUUUUAAAGUGAUUUGCCAGGUUGCUAAUAUACAUGUGUCAUCAAUUGUAGGGUCUGACUAGGGCAUAGACACCAAGACUGCAGCUUUGUUAUUUUUACACUGAUCUGAAUGGUUGUGAAUUGAUGACCCACACUUGAGGUGAGGGYUGUGCCAACAAGUGCAAAGUUGCCUUUUCUUGCGGGAAACGACCGAUUCAUUUGUGUUUAUGCAUGCAUUGUGCAUUGGUACAAUAGUCAUGCAACUUUACAGCAUCAGUAUUUCGACGUUCAUUCCCGUUACAGAGAUAAUCUGGAAUUGGUACAUCCAUUUCUGGCUUUAGGGGAAUGCAGUUAAAUGGUAGAGGAACAGGUUAUAGAUUAUGCCUUAAAACUGAUUAUUGUAAUCAAGUCAAAUUAGCGUCACAGGAAAAUGAUUUCUCCUGAUUAUUUAAUUUAGAAAAAUAGUAGCGUGCUAUGUAGGCCUAUGCAUACUAACAUGUUAACUUUGGUAUUACUUGGAUGCUUGCCAGGCACUAGCCAGGGCACUUGACUGUUUCUGCAUUCAACAAAGUUAGCCAUAUCAAUGCCUUGCCAAUGCAAGACAACAACUAGUUAGCUAAAGCCAAAACAGACUGGCACCCAAGCUAGCCAAACACACCCCUAUAAUUCAACAGAUGGUAAAACUCUAAAAAGACAUUCGGGAAUUGGUACCACCCUCUAUUCUUGCUGAUACCACAUUCCCAUAAUAGACACAGAGAGAGUGAUAUAUAAAGACCAUGGUGAAAGAAAAAGAGUGUUAAAGAUAAAACCAAGGAUUGAACGGCCAAACACAGAAAACGGGGUCGACAGCCUUUUGAAUGAGGGUAAACAACAGAAAGUCCAAGUUCUCUGGCCUUGACAGGGGAACACAGAGGAUAAAUCUGUUGGCCAAUUAACUGAGCCGUGUGCUGCUACUUCAAAUGCAGUCCACUGCCUGCCACUGAGAUUUACACGCUUUUCAUCUGCGGGCUUUAGGGGAGAAAGAGUUCCAUUUUAAUCAGUCCACAGCAUAUUUAUAUUAGUGCCUCGUGGGAUUGUUUAUGCAAAAUAAAAAAAAUAAACAGAUCCUUUCAACACCUUUCAUGCACUGUCCACACAGCACCGGACCUGGGUUCUAGUAGUGUAAAAAAUAUUUAAAUACUUUUAGCUGUGCUUGACUGAGCAUACCUGGCACAACUGAACCAAUGGAAUAGCCCCAAAAGUGCCAACACAACCCAUCAUGCUCUCAAGGCAGGUUCAAGCAAACACUCAAAAGAUUUGAAAGAUUUUAAGCACUAUUUGAACCCAGGUCUGUUGUGCAUACUCACUCAGCACGGUGGUUUCCCCUAACGUUAUUGUACCAGAGAUAGGCAGGCUAUCGGCCCAUUCUCCUUAGAAGACCCACCGAUUAAACUACAGUAAAAAUAGCACUUGAGGAGUGAUUAAAUUGUGUUCAGCUGUUGAAUGCGGAAUGAGGCAGCCGUCAGUUUGUUGUUUUAUAAAGUUUUGAAAGUGUCUGAAAAAGUGUUGUAUUGUAAAAGUUUGGUUACUAGCUAGCUACCUUUUGAUUUGGAUCCCGUGACGCGGUUGGCAUCAGUUGCUGGGACUGCUGCUAUCUGUCCAGGGAUCCUGCUGACCGAGGGUCUUUUGAUGAGCUGCUAUCAAGCUAGCGGGGUUUCCUUGAGGGCUUGAACGCAGCCCGCGACGUGGUUAGCCCUUGUGGCUGGAACCGUGGAUUGUCCUGUGCUUGGGGCUGUCUACAUCCCUACAGUUUGUUGCUGUUUCCAUCUUCCCUGUGWCCUGCCCUGUCCGGAAUUGCGGGGAGUAACAGCAUAGCCUACGUUGCUACCAUUAUAAAAACCAAAUCCAGUGGGAGUAUCGUUGAGGACAGUGGGGUCUCUCUAUCAUAGGUGAAAGAUCUUUUAAACAAACUAAAAGAGUUCUACAAGCAGUUGUUACAGCAAUAAGAAAAUAGCUUGUUGUGUUGUGUCCAAAUACUGGUAGAGUCAACUAAUAAAAGGAUGGACGACCUGACCAGAGAGGUCCAGGACCUGAAGAACAGUUUGCAGUUCUCCCAGGGUCAGCUCCAUGAGUUUAAUCAGGAGAACGAAGUUGACAGCAAUCUCCAGCAGUCUGAGAGACUGUUUAAAGAGACAUCAGUGGUGAGUGGGCAGGCCAACCCAUUUUCUGUGUGAAUUGAAUGAGUGCGACUACGUGUUUCUGCAAGAGAGAGUGUCCAUCAGUGUCCUCUCACUCCUCGUUCCCCCCAUCCCUCCCGCUCUACCAUUGCGCAGAGGAUACAUGGCACAGACUCAGGAAAUUCCACACUUCUCUGUGAGGAGCGAGGGGAGAGGCAGGAGCACAGGAGUGGGCAGAGGAGAACUCUGGAGGAGGAGAGAGGUCAUCUGUGGACUGUAUACGAAUGGAAAGACAAUGACCCAAAACACACUUCCAGGCUGUGUAAGGAGAG
Non-coding RNA from Salvelinus sp. IW2-2015, 3013 nucleotides. Lineage: Eukaryota; Metazoa; Chordata; Actinopteri; Salmoniformes; Salmonidae. The record is from RefSeq and is a predicted model, not a curated record.